Molecule: long non-coding RNA, 201 nt
Filed under: Lathyrus oleraceus (garden pea)
Lineage: Eukaryota; Viridiplantae; Streptophyta; Magnoliopsida; Fabales; Fabaceae
Description: Pisum sativum (pea) long non-coding RNA (PSAT_LNC037232)
Source: RNAcentral
AGCCUUAUUCAUUUGCCAUUAUUCAUACCAUUCUAAUUGUUUAUGUUCAAUGUCAUUUUCACUUUGUCUAUUUGGACCAUAUUUUGUGAUAUAUUUUGUUUGUGUGGUCUUUGACUACUAAUGUACAUAAUAAGAACAAAAAAACCCUAAAAAACUUCUUGUGUGGACUGUUGGUUUGAUCUGAGACAAUUAGACUUAGAG